CCUACGGGAGGCAGCAGUGGGGAAUAUUGGACAAUGGGCGGAAGCCUGAUCCAGCCAUGCCGCGUGUGUGAAGAAGGCCUUUUGGUUGUAAAGCACUUUAAGCGAGGAGGAGGCUACCUGGAUUAAUACUCUAGGAUAGUGGACGUUACUCGCAGAAUAAGCACCGGCUAACUCUGUGCCAGCAGCCGCGGUAAUACAGAGGGUGCGAGCGUUAAUCGGAUUUACUGGGCGUAAAGCGUGCGUAGGCGGCUGAUUAAGUCGGAUGUGAAAUCCCUGAGCUUAACUUAGGAAUUGCAUUCGAUACUGGUCAGCUAGAGUAUGGGAGAGGAUGGUAGAAUUCCAGGUGUAGCGGUGAAAUGCGUAGAGAUCUGGAGGAAUACCGAUGGCGAAGGCAGCCAUCUGGCCUAAUACUGACGCUGAGGUACGAAAGCAUGGGGAGCAAACAGGAUUAGAUACCCUGGUAGUCCAUGCCGUAAACGAUGUCUACUAGCCGUUGGGGCCUUUGAGGCUUUAGUGGCGCAGCUAACGCGAUAAGUAGACCGCCUGGGGAGUACGGUCGCAAGACUAAAACUCAAAGGAAUUGACGG
Molecule: ribosomal RNA, 587 nt
Filed under: uncultured bacterium
Lineage: Bacteria
Description: bacterial SSU rRNA
Rfam family: Bacterial small subunit ribosomal RNA
Source: RNAcentral